Tarenaya hassleriana is the source of this 955-nucleotide long non-coding RNA. RefSeq lists it as uncharacterized. The record is from RefSeq and is a predicted model, not a curated record. Lineage: Eukaryota; Viridiplantae; Streptophyta; Magnoliopsida; Brassicales; Cleomaceae. The transcript is spliced from 3 exons.
AUCCGACACCAAACCUACUUACCUGUGGACCAUAUGGCCUCAUAUUUGCUUCAACAAGUUUUCAACAAGUCCUUCAUAUACCUGUCAGGUCUCCAGCUUCUACUAUCAUCUUGGAAAAUAUCCAUAUUUCCAGGCCUUUGUGGCAUACUUGCUGGUUCUUUAUAUCGGUUGAAUAUCCUUGGCUGAAUAUCCUUGGCAUCCGCAAGGCAAAGUUUCCUGAGUUUAUUGACUUCAUUCUUUACCUCAUCCAUUGGGAGCUCUCCUCCAGCUCCUAGCGGGAAUGUCCUCGGAAAUUCGUCAACCCAUCGCCAGCCAGAGGUAAGUCUCGUUGCUCUCCUUUCCACUGCUGCCAUCUGUUUUCGGCUCUUAUAUCCUCACCGCCUCUUCGUCAUUGGCCUUCAAUGUUUUUUGAGUUUCAGAGAUCUUACCCAGCCCCAGCCCUGGCCCCAGCCCCAGCCCCGGCCCCAAUGCCAUCAAGUGUCGAGCCAUCCGAGGAAGCCAUAAACACGCUGGUCUCAAUGGGUUUCGACCUGAAUGCAGCUAGACAGGCUCUGGUUCACGCCAGAAACAAUAUCAAUGCAGCCACCAACAUCCUCCUCGAAGCACAGUCCCACUAACUAGAAAGGUGGAUCUAACUUCAAUGCCAAAGAAUCCAAUGAAAGGGACUGUUCUACUAUCUGGUAUGGAAUAUUUCUGAUGCGAGAGCAACGAAGACUGAUGAUCUACCACCGACCCACAUGGUUCUGCAUCAAUGAAAAGCUGAUAUGUCCACACCAUAUAUGAUCCGGGGCAAAUGAUUUGCGGUCUCUCUUCCUUUUGUCUUCUUAAGUGUUUGGACAGAGUGUAUAGCUUGUGUAGCCACAUUGUUCAGAGUCUUCCCCUUCGGAGUUGGAAGAUAGAUUGUGAAUCUUAUACUGUGAUCGAAUCUUACACUACGAUGCUCUGGAUUCUGUAA